UGGUUACAAUAGCAGAGAGGAUACACCUGUUCCCAUUCCGAACACAGAAGUUAAGCUCUCUAGCGCUGAUGGUACUUGGUGGGAAAUCACCAAAAAGGU
RNAcentral lists this ribosomal RNA (99 nucleotides) under Clostridioides difficile. The record is from RNAcentral. Lineage: Bacteria; Bacillati; Bacillota; Clostridia; Peptostreptococcales; Peptostreptococcaceae.